RNAcentral lists this ribosomal RNA (450 nucleotides) under uncultured bacterium. RNAcentral describes it as "partial 16S ribosomal RNA". It matches the Rfam family "Bacterial small subunit ribosomal RNA", at positions 29 to 523 of the family's 1533-position model. The record is from RNAcentral.
AGCGAACGCUGGCGGCAGGCCUAACACAUGCAAGUCGAACGAACCUUUCGGGGUUAGUGGCGGACGGGUGAGUAACACGUGGGAACGUGCCUUUAGGUUCGGAAUAACUCAGGGAAACUUGUGCUAAUACCGAAUGUGCCCUUCGGGGGAAAGAUUUAUCGCCUUCAGAGCGGCCCGCGUCUGAUUAGCUAGUUGGUUGAGGUAAUGGCUCACCAAGGCGACGAUCAGUAGCUGGUCUGAGAGGAUGAUCAGCCACAUUGGGACUGAGACACGGCCCAAACUCCUACGGGAGGCAGCAGUGGGGAAUCUUGCGCAAUGGGCGAAAGCCUGACGCAGCCAUGCCGCGUGAAUGAUGAAGGUCUUAGGAUUGUAAAAUUCUUUCGCCGGGGACGAUAAUGACGGUACCCGGAGAAGAAGCCCCGGCUAACUUCGUGCCAGCAGCCGCCGUAA